Long non-coding RNA from Manis pentadactyla (Chinese pangolin), 3733 nucleotides. RefSeq lists it as uncharacterized. The transcript is spliced from 6 exons. NCBI's taxonomy places the organism in Eukaryota, Metazoa, Chordata, Mammalia, Pholidota, Manidae. The record is from RefSeq and is a predicted model, not a curated record.
GUCCAACUCUCUCUACGAACAAGCAUUUUCCUCCUUUAACUUUGGUAGUGCCCUGUAGGAGAGAGGCUUCAGGAGAAAUGAUAGAGGCUGUUGCUGUCAGAAUCAAGUGCAAACGGCAACCUGUAAAUUCCAAUGAGCAUGUGCACAUUUUAUUGGUAUUUAUUCAGGAGACAUUCCAGGAGGCAGAAGUCACCUCCACCGCCCCCACCGCUCUUCCCACUGUAGGGCAGAGCACGUAUUAAGAAGAAUCUCAGGUAAAUGUUUAACAAGAUGGUCUAGUUUGCACUUUGUAGGCUUCACUGAUGAAGUAAGUGGUAGUUUUUAGCUAAAACAACCUCAUUGUUUGCACAAGUGUUCUGCUUGAGUUUUCUAGGGUCAUUAGAUCUAACUGCCUCCUUUACCUGCUGUUUGAACUGGUUGAGCCUGUGGAGGGACAGAAAACAAAAGAGGGGUGUUGAAAUGCAAAUACACAGCUCUGGGUUCCAGUCCCUGGCUGCAAAAUAGAGCUACCGCUGACAUCACCAUCUCCUCGGAGGCCUGCGGAAGGCUCUAGAAAAGUCUCACAGGAUGUAUUUCUUUUCAUGGACUGGAAUCCCAAGGUGCUGGGGAUAGAAGGCGAACAAGAAAGCCAACAUCUAGGGAGGACACUGUUCCGGAAUGAGGCAAGUAGAGGGGGCUUUGCACCGUGCAGAAGCCUGUCCUUCCCAACUGGGUCCCCGGAGAAUGGGCUGUCGGUCUCAGCUCAAGUGUCACCUACUCAGCAGGCCUUACCUGAGCCCUGGAGCCAGCGUGGGCCUCCCCCAGGCCCUCAGCCGCCUGCUGCCUGCCACCUGCCCCCGUUCACUGGAGCCUUAAAAGGCCCCCGGGGUGCUGCCCGGGAUGUUGUGGGCUCUUGGGGCAUGUUUGUUGAAUGGCUCUUUGUUUCUGAUGAACCUGAGCCAGAGCUUCCAUUCUGAAUGACCUAAUCGCUGUUGUGGCUCCUGCUGACAGGCCUACGAACAGUGCCCCCUAAGGUGCCGUUCCCAGGGGUUCAGCUGUGGUCCCACGACUCAUGCAUGAAUCUCUUGUAGCUCUGACCCCGAACAACCAUUCAUAAAAGAAAACCUUCAGGCCCCCCAAGCUCACCAGGCCCCCCAAGUUCAGCAGCAGACCCACCGCCCUGCCUUGCAGGCCAAGCUCCUCUUCCGUGUCCCCAGCCUGGCCGAAGGUGCCCCCACCCACCUGCUUAGGAACCGUGCGGACAGCCUGCGUGCUUCCCUCACUUACCCUCCAUCUGCAGCCAGCCAGCCACCAUGUGCCCGCAAGGAACUUGCCCGCGAGCCCAGCUAGAGGCCUGCAGCUGGCAGUCUGCCACCUGGCUGCAAAGCUCACACCCCGAACCUCAGAAGUUUCUCCAGUGAGGUGCCCCCUCUCGCCCCAGGACCACGGCUUGAGUCUGGAGGGGGCUUUGGCCCGAUAGUUACACCAGCAUUCCCCUGAUCUUCAGACCCUGCACCUUCCAUGUAGGCUGAUCUCCACCCUGUAGCAAGCGUCAUCUUCCUAAAAUUCAAACCCUGUCCUAUUUGUGCAUGAAAACUACUCUUGGUUCCCUUACUAUCUCUUAAAGCCUAAAUUCCUCAUGGAGCGUGGAAUCCCCUUCUUGGUCUUUUCCUGGCCUCUGCCCCUGCCCCUCCGUUGCUCCCCCAGCUGCACCUGGGCAGUGUGGUCCCCCGCUGGGCCAGGCCGGCUCGGCUCGUGCCGCUCUGGGCCUAGAGCACCCUGUCCCCUGUGCUCGGGGAGAUCCUUUCAUCCUCGGCACCAAGCCACAUCCUCUGUGAAGGCUCUCAGAGAGGGCCCCCGGCCGCCCGCCCCCCGCCGCACCUCACAGAGCACGCAGCCCCCGUACUUUGGGGGAAUGCAUUUCUGAAUCCGACGUGCAGAGACGUGCGGUCAGAGAGCCACAGUGUGCGCCUGAGGACAACGGGACAGACGACUGUCGAGGUCCAGGGGACCCUCGCAGAGAUGAUUCCUUGGCCUCUCCACCACCCGGCAAGGGGCAGGGGGCCUGUCCAAGACAGGGGGCCGCUUCUCCUCCUCUCUGCCCGGUGCCUGGCAAGACGCCCACCCCAGUGUUCGCAGAAGGUGUGAAGGUUGCACCAGGCCAGAGAGCCCGUACCACGUGAACAGGUUCGUACCUGACGUGUGCAUUCCUCCGAGGAAGCCACCGGCUCGGCCCACAUCUUGGCCUCGUCGCUGGAACGCUGCUCGCAGCCCGCACGCCCUCCUCUGUACAGUGGGGAGCGAGUAGCUCCUCCGGGGCUGCCGCGAAGACCGUGGGGGUGGCCUGAAGGCCACGGGUGGCGCAGGGCCUGGCCCAGGCGGCUUUGCUUCUGGCGCAAAGAUAUGUGUAGCUCUUCAUGAUAAACAGGAACUGGGAGGCAAGGUCACAUCCUAAAAUAACUUUAAAGUCAGGAUUUCUUUGGGACUUUUAAAAGUUAACACAAUUAAGAAUGUUCCUAGUAUUUAAUAACUACGAUUACGUACAAAGACCACUCUCCUGUAUUUUAGAGUAUCUGACUUUCCUCCUGUACGGUUUGCAGGUGGCCUGGGGUGGGGGGUGUGACUGAGUUUUGCAGCAGCUUGGGUUUGAUCAGCUCUGUCGGACCCCUCGCCCCCACACGAAAGGAAGCCGUUGGGUGAGUGUUUGCCCGAUGCCUGGGCCCCGCCUCGCACCUACUGAAUCAGAACUGGGGGCAGGAAGGGGUCUGUGUAUCAGCGUUUAGGAAAACCUCCCCCUGUGGUUCUGAUCAUCUGCAAGGUUUGGGAACCUGGAGUGCCUACACCACUAGAAAAGCAUAGGGCUCGAAUUUCUCAUUUCCUCGGCCUUACAGUCUUUGUAAUAAAAAAAAAAAAGAGUUGAUUUGCCUUUUUUGUAAACGACCUGAGUUUUCUCAGGGCCGGUUUUACCCUCACAGUGGGCUAUUUAUCCUGCUAGUGGGAAAACCUGGCUGCCCUGAAACAAUAGGAGAAGGCGCAAGCUUUACCAGCCUCCCCACGUUUUUAACAUCAGUGAAGUAUUUCCUCCGUGUCCUGCUGGGGCCAUUUAAAUGCUAAUGGAGUUAAAUGCAACAGUCUUUUUAGGAAUCCAACUCAACUGUUUAUAUGACAAUCUUAUUUUUUCUUCAUUCUAUAUUUGUCCUUUAUUUUUAAAUUUUUUUCCUGGAGAGCCAUAUGUUUACAUUCUUUGGUGUUUCAAACCUUCAAGAAGAAGAAUAAAAAUCCCAUCCUGACAGCUUCUCAGCAGCACUUGGAAGAGGCGGGGAAUGCAGGCACCCUCGAAAUUUGAAGUCUGCAGCUUGAAUGUGCUGAGUCACCGAGUCUUUGCAGAGUCAAAACAAUUUGCACCCAGGAAAAGUACAGCUGAAAAUUAAACUCUCUCCUAGUCGGCGGCGGGGGGAGAAUGUGAGCCCAGGCAGAGUCACUGCAACGCCCCGGGGUCGCUGCGGAGAGGGCCUCUCCGCCCAGAGAACGCCUGCUCCCCGGGGCGUCAUCAGGCCGGCGUUCCCGCUGCUCACAUUUAGAUUGGCCAUAACGCAAUGACUUGGAAUUAAAAGAAUCAGUAAAAAUGCCCUGAGCUCACUGCCCUCCAUUCGACUCUGCCUAGAGCUGGAAGUGGGCUGACUUCGCUGCCCGUAGAGUCAGAGUCUGCGCAGGGGCAGAACCGGGACGCGGGGGCAGAACCGGGACGCGGGCG